RNAcentral lists this long non-coding RNA (498 nucleotides) under Musa acuminata (dwarf banana). RNAcentral describes it as "long non-coding RNA (MACU_LNC003059)". Lineage: Eukaryota; Viridiplantae; Streptophyta; Magnoliopsida; Zingiberales; Musaceae. The record is from RNAcentral.
GAUUUGUAUGAAUUACGAAUCCAGAAACCAUCCAAUGAGGCAAAACAGUUGGAAUUUUAGCUCCUAAAUCCAAUUAUCUCCAAAGUUUCCAAAAAAGUGAUACAUCUGAGGAGACAAUUAAUAAGCUCAAUGCAGAGAAACAUAUGGUUCAGUACUCAAAAACACAAAUUUCCAGUUAUUGUUGCAUGGACUGGAACUUCUUCAUGAUGAGCAUGCUCAAGUCCAUGUACCGUUGAGCACAAUUGGUAAGGCAAGCUGAUUCACUGGAGCUGAACUUACUGCCAGGAGUACCAGUGAUGCACUUAUCCCAGCAUUCAUUCGUAAGUUUCCCAACCAUCUCACUGACCAUAGCUUUUUGCUUCUCUUGCUACAGUAAACAACACCCAUCGUUUAAAAAAUAAUUUAUUUAGAGGAACUAAAGAUCAGAAUAAAGGAGAAAAGAACAGGGAAUUGGGGAUUCCCUUUUAGUUAGUUUCUUGUAAAAAUUCAUGGAAGAUG